RNAcentral lists this ribosomal RNA (253 nucleotides) under uncultured bacterium. RNAcentral's name for it is "partial 16S ribosomal RNA". It matches the Rfam family "Bacterial small subunit ribosomal RNA", at positions 524 to 776 of the family's 1533-position model. The record is from RNAcentral.
UACGUAGGGGGCAAGCGUUGUCCGGAAUCAUUGGGCGUAAAGCGCGUGUAGGCGGCUAGGUAAGUCUGCUCUGAAAGCCCGGGGCUCAACCCCGGGAGGCGGGUGGAUACUGUCUAGCUCGAGUCCGGAAGAGGAGUGUGGAAUUCCUGGUGUAGCGGUGAAAUGCGCAGAUAUCAGGAGGAACACCAAUGGCGAAGGCAGCACUCUGGGACGUGACUGACGCUGAGACGCGAAAGCGUGGGGAGCAAACGGG